AAUUUACAUACAAUAACAAUGAAACAGAUAAAAUAAACGGGAUAAAAUACAGAAUAUUGGCUUACUGAGAUGCAGCAGUUAUAUUCCAGCUGUGGGGACAGCUGAAGAUAUGGGCAGUCACUCCAA
Molecule: long non-coding RNA, 126 nt
Organism: Bufo bufo (common toad)
Lineage: Eukaryota; Metazoa; Chordata; Amphibia; Anura; Bufonidae
Exons: 4
Source: RefSeq, a predicted model, not a curated record